AUGAUGCCUGCGGGGAUGGCACGGGUGAGGGCACCGGGCUGGGCAGCUCACCCGGAGCCCUGCCUGGUGGGGAACGAGAAAAGGGGCCCGGUCCCGGUACCUGCGGGCGGUGCCAGCUCCAGGCGCUGCAGGCUGUUGCGGCGGGAGGGGUUGAAGCUGCCCUUGGAGAGGCGGCGCUGGCGGCCGGACAGCAUGGCAGCGGGCGAGACGAUGCCCAGCGGCGGCUGCUUCCCCAUGCGCAGGUACAGCUCCUCGAUCUCCUUCUUCUGGGCGCUCUGCAGCAGCUGCACCUCCGCCAAGUGCCUGGGGAGAGGAGAGGACAGGGGCUGGCAGUGGGGCCUGGGGAAGGGACAGCGAGGUCCCCCCGGGCUGGCUGGGAACACGUGUGGCCGCCCAGGUGCAGCCAGCCCCGGCUCACUUCUGGCGCAGGUUCUGCAGCUCCUCCCAGAUCUCCUCGUCCUCGCUCUCGGUGUCGUCGCUGCUCACGUAGGACAGGCUGCGGGAGUAGCUCAGCCACACCUGGCUCAGCAUGGCCUGCGGCACGUUUUCUGUGCUCUCUUCCCCAGGGCCCUCCCCGGGGUCGCUCCCCGCUGGCGCAGCGGGCGCAGAGCCCCCCUCGGCCGGCACCUCCUCAGCCUUGGGUGCCUCCGGUGCCACGUCCGAGUCGCUGCUGGAGCUGUGGCUCGUGUCGGGCACCGCGGGAGGCGGGAGGCGCUCGCUGCCGGCUCCGUGCCGGGCUGCUCCCCGUCACUGCUGCCCGGCCCCGCGGAGCUCAUGGCCAGGUCCUUGGCUGGCACCACCUGGAACCGGCCCAGCACCUGCGGCUUGGCUUCUGCUGGGGACAGGGGCAGCUGGUGGGCACAGGGGCUGGCAGGGGCAUUGCGGUGCCCUGGCACAGCCUCAGCCCUGCCCCUCCUCACCUUCAUUGAUGGGCGAGAGCUGUGCCUUGGGCACGCUGGGGGCCGGUGCCUCCGAGAUGAUCAGAGAGUGGCUGGGCUUGGGGGCACCAGGCAGCACCUGUGGGCACCUGAGCACAUCAGCAGCCCCACCCCAGAUCUCCUGUCCUCCCCUGUGGGCACCUGA
This 1083-nucleotide long non-coding RNA is filed under the name Camarhynchus parvulus. RNAcentral describes it as "lncRNA (ENSCPVG00000017354.1)". Lineage: Eukaryota; Metazoa; Chordata; Aves; Passeriformes; Thraupidae. The record is from RNAcentral.